CCUGUGGAAGCGGAAGUGCCGGGAAAUUUGCACCAGUUUCGUUUCCACUUUAUUGCUCUCUUGAAAUUUGGACUCAGAUUUACUUCUGAGAUUUACUUCAGGUUUACUUCUCUGUCGUGAGGUUUGUGCAAUUUUCCCUGUUUUUCUGUUCUGCCUUGCAACUUGUGUGGGCGCUGGGCUUGAGCGCAGCAGUUGCAAUGACUACUGCUCAUUUCCUCUAUUAACAUUUGGCCUACUUUGGCAAAGAAAGGGUUUGCCUUCCGUAAGGAAGACAACAUAUAUACCUGCCCAGCUGCUAAGAUCUGGAGCAGAGGUCCUUCUUCCGGAGCCCUCUUUGAGGGAGAGCAGAAGCGUGGCUAUCUGGAGAGGGGGCUUCUCUGCCGUGACCUGUGGAAUGGGCUCUUAAGAAAGGUGUGGCUGGUGCCAAUGCUUUUUUUCAUUUAGGCCCUAGGCCAAAAACUUUUUAUUUUCCCAGGAUUUUAAAUGUUACUAUUGUUUGUAACAUUGAUGAUAUAUAUUAUUGUGAAGCUGUGUCUCAUUUAUGUUAUCACCGCCCUGAGAAACUGUGAAGGGCAGGAUACAAAAAUUUAAAACAAACAUCUUGCAGUAGAAGCCAGCAGCAAAAUGCUUCCGGAACCCAUGUUGCUUCUUCCCAGUGGAGGCACAGUCAGUUGAGCAAGGCAUUUUGCUGCAUGGCCCCAAGCACCUUUGGAAGAGAGGUAACCGGGCAGGGGGGACAGCUUACGAUCGGGGUUGUCUGGGAAAAGAAGCCUGAGAUAUUUUUCCUAACAUUUAGGACUAUGUUUGAGGAUCAAACUUCAGAGAUGCUUGCCUUUUAAACACAAGCUGGAAAUCUACAUAUCAGAGGGAGCGCAUUCCACAGAGGAGGACAUUAACAAGCAAAUCAAUGAUAAGGAACGUGUAGCUGCUGCAAUGGAGAAUCCCAAUUUGCGGGAGAUUGUGGAGCAGUGUGUCCUGGAGGCUGACUAGCUGCUGUGACGGCCUCCAACUCGGGAUUCACCUGGCACGUUUGAAUUACCAUCUUGGCAAAAAUACAGAGGCCUUGACUACCAGGGAGAUCUUUGUCGCGUCUACAUAUUUUAAAAGAAUAUUUUUAUAGAAAUGCAUUUAAUUACAAAGAGAGUAGACCAUGUAUAGUACCAUGUGUGCUAUAAAAAGUAAUCUUGAUUGAAAAUUGAUUUUAUAUGAAAUUUACGAACCAGUCUGUUGCUGUCUCAUGAAUAUGCCUUGUGCUUUUAAAAUGGGAUGUUGAAUUAGAUUUCCCACUUCAGAUUGGUGGGGUGUUUUUGAAUUGCUGCAGUGUGAAAAAUGAAUAAAAUAAAGAGUUCUUGAAUCUGGA
Molecule: long non-coding RNA, 1360 nt
Organism: Varanus komodoensis (Komodo dragon)
Lineage: Eukaryota; Metazoa; Chordata; Lepidosauria; Squamata; Varanidae
Exons: 3
Source: RefSeq, a predicted model, not a curated record